This 253-nucleotide ribosomal RNA is filed under the name uncultured bacterium. RNAcentral's name for it is "partial 16S ribosomal RNA". It matches the Rfam family "Bacterial small subunit ribosomal RNA", at positions 524 to 776 of the family's 1533-position model. The record is from RNAcentral.
UACGAAGGGGGCUAGCGUUGCUCGGAAUUACUGGGCGUAAAGGGCGCGUAGGCGGGUCGUUUAGUUAGAGGUGAAAGCCCAGGGCUCAACCCUGGAAUUGCCUUUAAUACUGGCGGCCUUGAGUAUGGCAGAGGUGUGUGGAACUCCGAGUGUAGAGGUGAAAUUCGUAGAUAUUCGCAAGAACACCAGUGGCGAAGGCGGCUUACUGGUCCGGUACUGACGCUGAGGUGCGAAAGCGUGGGGAGCAAACAGG